RNAcentral lists this ribosomal RNA (492 nucleotides) under uncultured bacterium. RNAcentral describes it as "partial 16S ribosomal RNA". It matches the Rfam family "Bacterial small subunit ribosomal RNA", at positions 29 to 507 of the family's 1533-position model. The record is from RNAcentral.
AGUGAACGCUGGCGGUAGGCCUAACACAUGCAAGUCGAACGGCAGCACAGUAAGAGCUUGCUCUUACGGGUGGCGAGUGGCGGACGGGUGAGGAAUACAUCGGAAUCUACUUUUUCGUGGGGGAUAACGUAGGGAAACUUACGCUAAUACCGCAUACGACCUACGGGUGAAAGCAGGGGAUCUUCGGACCUUGCGCGAUUGAAUGAGCCGAUGUCGGAUUAGCUAGUUGGCGGGGUAAAGGCCCACCAAGGCGACGAUCCGUAGCUGGUCUGAGAGGAUGAUCAGCCACACUGGAACUGAGACACGGUCCAGACUCCUACGGGAGGCAGCAGUGGGGAAUAUUGGACAAUGGGCGCAAGCCUGAUCCAGCCAUACCGCGUGGGUGAAGAAGGCCUUCGGGUUGUAAAGCCCUUUUGUUGGGAAAGAAAAGCAGCAGGUUAAAACCCCGCUGUUCUGACGGUACCCAAAGAGUAAGCACCGGCUAACUUCGUG